CAUACUAUUUGCAAAAGUAGACAACCCAAGGUAUUGCAAACAGGGUAUGUCCAGUAAUUUUUAGUAGCCACUUAGUUACAAACACUGGCCAAAUAUUAGUUUUUUUGCUUUUUUCACACAAAAACAAAUAUGAACACUAAUUUUGGCCAGUGUUUGUGACUAUGUGUGACUAAGUGGCUACUACAAAAGACUGGACAUACCCCACUUGCAAUACCUUGGGUAGUCUACUUUUGCAAAUGGUAUG
Non-coding RNA from Pelobates cultripes (western spadefoot toad), 244 nucleotides. Lineage: Eukaryota; Metazoa; Chordata; Amphibia; Anura; Pelobatidae. The record is from the annotation of a GenBank genome assembly.